Molecule: ribosomal RNA, 498 nt
Filed under: uncultured bacterium
Lineage: Bacteria
Description: partial 16S ribosomal RNA
Rfam family: Bacterial small subunit ribosomal RNA
Source: RNAcentral
AUUGAACGCUGGCGGCAUGCUUUACACAUGCAAGUCGAACGGUAACAGGCCGCAAGGUGCUGACGAGUGGCGAACGGGUGAGUAAUGCAUCGGAACGUGCCCAGUCGUGGGGGAUAACGCAGCGAAAGCUGCGCUAAUACCGCAUACGAUCUCUGGAUGAAAGCGGGGGACCGAAAGGCCUCGCGCGAUUGGAGCGGCCGAUGUCAGAUUAGGUAGUUGGUGGGGUAAAGGCUCACCAAGCCGACGAUCUGUAGCUGGUCUGAGAGGACGACCAGCCACACUGGGACUGAGACACGGCCCAGACUCCUACGGGAGGCAGCAGUGGGGAAUUUUGGACAAUGGGCGCAAGCCUGAUCCAGCCAUACCGCGUGCAGGAUGAAGGCCUUCGGGUUGUAAACUGCUUUUGUACGGAACGAAAAGGUUUGACUUAAUACGUUGGACUCAUGACGGUACCGUAAGAAUAAGCACCGGCUAACUACGUGCCAGCAGCCGCGGUAA